RNAcentral lists this ribosomal RNA (208 nucleotides) under uncultured bacterium. RNAcentral describes it as "partial 16S ribosomal RNA". It matches the Rfam family "Bacterial small subunit ribosomal RNA", at positions 28 to 225 of the family's 1533-position model. The record is from RNAcentral.
GACGAACGCUGGCGGCGUGCUUAACACAUGCAAGUCGAGCGGUAAGGCCCUUUCGGGGUACGACGAGCGGCGAACGGGUAGGAGUAACACGUGGGUGGACCUCGCCCUCCAGCUCUGGGAGUAAGCCGUCGGGAAACCGGGGUACCUAAUAACUGGAUAUGACUCCAUGACGCAUGUUGUGGGGUGGAAAGCCUUGUGCGGCUGAGGA